GAUGAAGAACGCAGCGAAAUGCGAUAAGUAGUGUGAAUUGCAGAAUUCAGUGAAUCAUCGAAUCUUUGAACGCACAUUGCGCCCUCUGGUAUUCCGGAGGGCAUGCCUGUUCGAGCGUCAUUUCACCACUCAAGCCUGGCUUGGUAUUGGGCGCCGCGGUGUUCCGCGCGCCUCAAAGUCUCCGGCUGAGCUGUCCGUCUCCAAGCGUUGUGAUUUCAUUAAUCGCUUCGGAGUGCGGGCGGCCGCGGCCGUUAAAUCUUUCACAAGGUUGACCUCGGAUCAGGUAGGGAUACCCGCUGAACUUAAGCAUAUCAAUAAGCGGAGGA
Molecule: unclassified non-coding RNA, 326 nt
Filed under: soil metagenome
Description: partial contains 5.8S ribosomal RNA, internal transcribed spacer 2, and large subunit ribosomal RNA
Rfam family: 5.8S ribosomal RNA (bases 1-120)
Source: RNAcentral